GGGAGUGGAUGGGGCCCGGUGGCUCUCACGGACUUCAAAUCCGCUGUAUCCCGCUAGAACCGGGAUGGGAGGGUUCGACUCCCUCCCACUCCCGCCA
This 97-nucleotide transfer RNA is filed under the name SAR202 cluster bacterium AC-409-J13_OGT_754m. RNAcentral's name for it is "tRNA-Sec". It matches the Rfam family "Selenocysteine transfer RNA". Lineage: Bacteria; Bacillati; Chloroflexota; Dehalococcoidia. The record is from RNAcentral.